RNAcentral lists this ribosomal RNA (264 nucleotides) under uncultured bacterium. Its description in RNAcentral is "partial 16S ribosomal RNA". It matches the Rfam family "Bacterial small subunit ribosomal RNA", at positions 92 to 354 of the family's 1533-position model. The record is from RNAcentral.
CGACCGGCGCACGGGUGAGUAACACGUAUGCAACCUGGCCGCCACAGGGGGAUAACCCGCGGAAACGCGGCCUAAUACCCCGUGACGCCACCGGAGGGCAUCCUCCGGUGGCCAAAGGAGCGAUCCGGUGGCGGAUGGGCAUGCGGCGCAUUAGCUAGACGGCAGGGUGACGGCCCACCGUGGCGACGAUGCGUAGGGGUUCUGAGAGGAAGGCCCCCCACACUGGGACUGAGACACGGCCCAGACUCCUACGGGAGGCAGCAG